RNAcentral lists this ribosomal RNA (427 nucleotides) under uncultured bacterium. RNAcentral describes it as "bacterial SSU rRNA". It matches the Rfam family "Bacterial small subunit ribosomal RNA", at positions 355 to 774 of the family's 1533-position model. The record is from RNAcentral.
UGGGGAAUUUUGGACAAUGGGCGCAAGCCUGAUCCAGCCAUGCCGCGUGAGUGAAGAAGGCCUUCGGGUUGUAAAGCUCUUUCGGACGGGAAGAAAUGGCGGGCUCUAACAUAGCCUGUCGAUGACGGUACCGUAAGAAGAAGCACCGGCUAACUACGUGCCAGCAGCCGCGGUAAUACGUAGGGGGCAAGCGUUGUCCGGAUUUACUGGGUGUAAAGGGUGCUCAGGCGGAUUUGUAAGUCAGAGGUGAAAUCUUACAGCUUAACUGUGAAACUGCCUUUGAUACUGCAAGCCUAGAGUAUGGAAGAGAGUGAUGGAAUAUCUGGUGUAGCAGUGAAAUGCGUAGAUAUCAGAUAGAACACCAAUGGCGAAGGCAGUCACUUGGUCCAUUACUGACGCUAAAGCACGAAAGCGUGGGUAGCAAACA